AACUUUUGACAAUGGAUCUCUUGGCUCUCGCAUAGAUGAAGAACGCAGCGAAAUGCGAUACGUAAUGUGAAUUGCAGAAUUCAGUGAAUCAUCGAAUCUUUGAACGCACCUUGCUCCCCUUGGAAUUCCGAGGGGCACACCCGUUUGAGUGUCGUGAACAUCCUUCAACCUUUCUUGGUUUCUUAACCGGGGAAGGCUUGGACUUUGGGGGUCUUUCAUUGCUGGCCUCUUUGUAGCCAGCUCCUCCUAAAUGGAUUAGUGUGUUCUGCUUUGCCGAUCCUUGACGUGAUAAGAUGUUUCUACGUCUUGGGUUUCUCACUGUCGCUUUAGACCCCGCUGCUAACCGUCUUGCAUUCAAGACAGAGUGUUAAACCUUCACCUAGAGUCGGGUGAGACUACCCGCUGAACUUAAGCAUAUAAAUCAGCGGAGGCU
This 433-nucleotide unclassified non-coding RNA is filed under the name uncultured Russula. Its description in RNAcentral is "sequence contains ITS2". The stretch from base 1 to 154 matches the Rfam family "5.8S ribosomal RNA". The record is from RNAcentral. Lineage: Eukaryota; Fungi; Basidiomycota; Agaricomycetes; Russulales; Russulaceae.